This 448-nucleotide ribosomal RNA is filed under the name uncultured bacterium. Its description in RNAcentral is "bacterial SSU rRNA". It matches the Rfam family "Bacterial small subunit ribosomal RNA", at positions 28 to 480 of the family's 1533-position model. The record is from RNAcentral.
GAUGAACGCUAGCGGCAGGCCUAACACAUGUAAGUCGAGGGAGAAGCCCUUCGGGGCAGAAACCGGCGCACGGGUGCGUAACGCGUAUGCAACCUACCUUUCACAGGGGGAUAGCCCGAAGAAAUUUGGAUUAAUACCCCAUAAUAUUGCGAGAUGGCAUCAUUUUGCAAUUAAAACUAUGGUGGUGAGAGAUGGGCAUGCGUCCUAUUAGCUAGUUGGAGUGGUAACGGCACCCCAAGGCUACGAUAGGUAGGGGUCCUGAGAGGGAGAUCCCCCACACUGGUACUGAGACAGGGACCAGACUCCUACGGGAGGCAGCAGUGAGGAAUAUUGGUCAAUGGUCGGAAGACUGAACAGCCAUGCCGCGUGCAGGAAGAAUGCCUUAUGGGUUGUAAACUGCUUUUAUAUGGGAAGAAUAAGGAGUACGAGUACUUNGANGACGGUNCCA